Molecule: transfer RNA, 72 nt
Filed under: Lophius litulon
Lineage: Eukaryota; Metazoa; Chordata; Actinopteri; Lophiiformes; Lophiidae
Description: tRNA-Asp
Rfam family: tRNA
About the family: Transfer RNA (tRNA) molecules are approximately 80 nucleotides in length.
Source: RNAcentral
AAGACACUAGUAAAACAGCUAUUACACUACCUUGUCAAGGCAGUACCGCGGGUUGGAACCCCGCGUGUCUUA